GAACUAUAGAGUUUGAUCCUGGCUCAGAUUGAACGCUGGCGGCAUGCCUUACACAUGCAAGUCGAACGGUAACGCGGGGCAACCUGGCGACGAGUGGCGAACGGGUGAGUAAUACAUCGGAACGUGCCCAGUAGUGGGGGAUAGCCCGGCGAAAGCCGGAUUAAUACCGCAUACGACCUAAGGGUGAAAGCGGGGGAUCGCAAGACCUCGCGCUAUUGGAGCGGCCGAUAUCAGAUUAGGUAGUUGGUGGGGUAAA
RNAcentral lists this ribosomal RNA (256 nucleotides) under Rhodoferax sp. RNAcentral's name for it is "partial 16S ribosomal RNA". It matches the Rfam family "Bacterial small subunit ribosomal RNA", at positions 1 to 261 of the family's 1533-position model. Lineage: Bacteria; Pseudomonadati; Pseudomonadota; Betaproteobacteria; Burkholderiales; Comamonadaceae. The record is from RNAcentral.